GACGAACGCUGGCGGCGUGCUUAACACAUGCAAGUCGAACGAAGAGCGACGGAAGCUUGCUUCUAUCAAUCUUAGUGGCGAACGGGUGAGUAACGCGUAAUCAACCUGCCCUUCAGAGGGGGACAACAGUUGGAAACGACUGCUAAUACCGCAUACGAUCUAACCUCGGCAUCGAGGAUAGAUGAAAGGUGGCCUCUACAUGUAAGCUAUCACUGAAGGAGGGGAUUGCGUCUGAUUAGCUAGUUGGAGGGGUAACGGCCCACCAAGGCGAUGAUCAGUAGCCGGUCUGAGAGGAUGAACGGCCACAUUGUGACUGAGACACGGCCCAGACUCCUACGGGAGGCAGCAGUGGGGAAUCUUCCGCAAUGGACGAAAGUCUGACGGAGCAACGCCGCGUGAGUGAUGACGGCCUUCGGGUUGUAAAGCUCUGUUAAUCGGGACGAAAGGCCUUCUUGCGAAUAGUGAGAAGGAUUGACGGUACCGGAAUAGAAAGCCACGGCUAACUACGUG
Molecule: ribosomal RNA, 510 nt
Filed under: uncultured bacterium
Lineage: Bacteria
Description: partial 16S ribosomal RNA
Rfam family: Bacterial small subunit ribosomal RNA
Source: RNAcentral